CCUAGAGCCGCCAGAGCACGGGAGAAACCAUCUUCGGAGAAGGAGGGGGGGGCGCGGCUUCCACUGCCUCUCGGGCGGGUGCGGGAGGGGCGCUCGCGGUGCCACCGGCUCCAGCCAGGCUGGUUUGCUCUGCAGAGUGGCGUGGCGAGGGUGUCGGCUAACUCCCCCUUUCCCUACAGUUCCCAUCAACCUCGCAAAAACCCCCAGUUUAAGUAAUCCUUAUGGUUGUUAUGCGCCAACUCUGGUUGCUACGCAAACACCGCUAAACUAACCCUUCAACAAACUAGUUGCCCCGAACUCUUCUGAGGGGGAAAUUGUGGAGCAGCCCUCUGCUUAGAGAUGAUAACCACCACCAGUGGUUCCGGUUUCUCAGGCACACGGCCAAUCGCAGGACAUUGCCAGCUUUGGAGCCGAGUUUCCCGAGACUUUUGCUGACACAUGUAUGCUCAGAAAAUCACUGGUGGUCUGGGUGUGGUGGAGCAUUCGUGUCCUAGCACUCAGGAGGCUGAAGCAGGGAGGUCACAAAUUCCAGACCAUCUCGGACUACAUAGUGAGACCCUGCCUCAGAACAUCAAAACCAGAAAAGGAAAGAAGAAAUUUCUAGCUAUUCAGCCCUCAUCUUAGCUGCCGUGAGGUGAAGUCCUCUGCCACACUGGACUGUGCCUGAAGCAAUAGGACCAAGUGACCAUGGACUGAGACCUUGGAAAUACUGAGCCGAAAGACACCUUUCCUUCUUUCAGGUUGAUUCUCUCAGGCUGAAGAAUCAUCAUACUGUUUUUCUCAACAGCUGCAGCAUUUGACAUUUCUCUCAGUAAUAUCUGAGAGUUCCAGCCUUUCCACAUCCUUGCCAACACAUGUUAUUGUUCAUUUUUUAAAGAGCUAUCUAGUGAGUAUCAUAUGGUACCUUGUUAUGGUUCGUGUCUGGAUGUCCCCCCAAAGUCUCAUGUCAUAGGUGCGGCUUUUUCAGAAGUGGCUGGAUCUAGAGUGUGUGACACUGGGAUUGAUUCAUGGGGCAACGCUAGACUCAAGGGCACUAGGAUUAAGAGUGCGAGUGCUACCUGCCCCAAGUAGUCUGGGUAAGAUAAGAGGGACAGAAAGACGCUGUUAAGGUCCUUUGUUGCUUUUGCUGUCUUCUACCUGUCUGCCAUGUCACCCUGCCUGGGAGCCAAUCAAUUAAAGACUGAACCGUCUACAAACUGUGAGCCAAAUAAACCUUUCCCCCUUUAACUUUGCAAGUCAG
Heterocephalus glaber (naked mole-rat) is the source of this 1240-nucleotide long non-coding RNA. NCBI's taxonomy places the organism in Eukaryota, Metazoa, Chordata, Mammalia, Rodentia, Bathyergidae. The record is from Ensembl.